UACAGAGGGGGCAAGCGUUGUUCGGAAUUACUGGGCGUAAAGGGCGCGUAGGCGGCCCGCUAAGUCGGACGUGAAAUCCCCGGGCUCAACCCGGGAACUGCGUCCGAUACUGGCAGGCUUGAAUCCGGGAGAGGGAUGCGGAAUUCCAGGUGUAGCGGUGAAAUGCGUAGAUAUCAUGUGGAACGCCAAUGGUGAAAACAGGUAGCUGGGGAUGUGCUGACGCUGAGACACGAAAGCCAGGGGAGCAAACGGG
Molecule: ribosomal RNA, 253 nt
Filed under: uncultured bacterium
Lineage: Bacteria
Description: partial 16S ribosomal RNA
Rfam family: Bacterial small subunit ribosomal RNA
Source: RNAcentral